This 72-nucleotide transfer RNA is filed under the name Sphaerodactylus townsendi. RNAcentral's name for it is "tRNA-Ala". It matches the Rfam family "tRNA". From Rfam's summary of the family: Transfer RNA (tRNA) molecules are approximately 80 nucleotides in length. The record is from RNAcentral. Lineage: Eukaryota; Metazoa; Chordata; Lepidosauria; Squamata; Sphaerodactylidae.
GGGGUUGGGGCUCAGUGGUAGAGUGUCUGCGUGGCGUGCGAAAGUUCUAAGGUUCGAUUCCCAGCAUCUCCA